ACCAUAUAAUAACACCAUUUGGUUUGUUCAAUAUUACAAGAUUUCCAUUUUUGUGAAUUGUGACUAUUCCAUUUGAAUCUUUGAGUGGUUGAUCUCUGUUUGCAAUCCAUAUAUUGUUGGUCUCAUUGAUGUACCAAAUUCCUAGGUAACGGUUGGUUGAAUUUAAUGGGCUGAAAAAUCCUAGCUUGAAGUUUGUGUUGUUUGAGGUUAUUGUUUCAUUGUCUUUGAGAGAUUUGGAUGGUGUAAUGGUGUCAUUGAUUGCACUAUAACAUGAAUAAAAGGUGCAAAAUAUGAGGACUGUAAUGAAUAAGUCAUUUGUAUUAUGACGUAGAAAAGCCAUUAAUGUGUAACAAAAUUGUUUAGACAAUGAUGAUUUUUUGAGGAAUACUAGAACUUAGUUUGGUUUGAUGAGUUUGUAAUUUGUAACAUAUUCCUAUUCAAACUAUCAUGAUUCAUGUGGAUUGUGGAAGAUGUUUUGUAUAGCUUCUGGAUAUCUAUUUUUGCAUAAAUAAAAACAAAAGAACCAAUUAAGAAGUCAAUUCGUGACAAUUACAAGGAUUGUUGCUAGGGGUGUUGGGGGAUCGAUUUGGUUAAUUUUUUUUUUUUAAUUUUUUGAUGAGAAGAUUUGGGGUGAUUUUUUGGUAAAAGUUUAUUUGAUUCAAAGAUUAAAAGCUAACAUGCUGUUUGGUUUGGUUUAGUUUUUUUUUUGGUAACCCGGUCUUAGCAAUUCAAAGUUUAGACGGGAGUUAGUAAAAAAUUGUUCUUAUUAUGAAUUAAACUCAACUUUUCUUGAACGACUAGUAUCAUGAGGAGCUCAAUAACCACUAAAGUCAAAUGAACAAUUAUAUAAUUUAGUUUAGUUUAGUAUUUUUUUGGUGUAAAUCGGGUAUCCUCCGCGCGCAACUGCGGAGACUAAUCCCUCGAGCAUUGUGGGACCCAAAUGGGCGGCAGGCUCUCCCUAAGAGUUUUAACAGUGCUGCAUGCCCAAGGCUUGAUUCGAACCCAGGACAUUGGUUAAGCUAGAAGAGACCCGUUCCAUCUCAUCUAAGUGCUCUUGGGUUAGUUUAAUAUGAUUUAACAGUUUAUUAAAAAAAUCAGAUCUAAUUAAAUAUAAAAAAAUCGGAUCUAAUUAAAUUUGUUUCAAUAGAAAAAUAUUAGUAGUUACACUACCAAAAAAGAAUAAAAAAUAUUAGUAGUUGGUUUUUUACCGUCGACAAAAAUAACAUUAGUAGUUAAUUUUUGUUAAGGUGAAGAGGAAAAUAUUAGUAGCCGAAUUGAACAUUCUUGUCAAAAAAGAAAGAAAGGAUUUGAACCUUUGGUCUCCCAAACCAAACAUUAGACUACUCUCAUCAAGAAAAAUGUUAGUUAUUAAUUUUAAAUUAAAUGUAUAAAAAUUUAGGUUAAGGAAUGAUGCUCCAAUUUAAGGUACGAAAAUCCUUCAGGGUUUAAGUUUAAGUUCUAUCAUUUUACCAUUAGAUUAAGCGUUUAAAGUUAGAUGAUUCAUUUUUGAUUAACACAUAUAACUUAAUUGUAUAUAUUACGCCGAAUAAUAUAUUAUAGGUUAAAAAUAACAUCAACAUAUGUACUAGCAAUGUAUUAAAAUAUAAAUUAUUAGUAUAUAUUAAAUUUAUAAAUAUUGGUGUGUUUGGUUUAAUGAUUGUUGUUUUUAUAAAAAUCUAAAAGCUGAUGGGAUUAGUUUUAAUAAAAGAAAAAUAACGAAAAUAAUUUUAAAAAAUGGAUCUUGUUGAGAUUUCGAAUUCUGUAAAUCAACAUGUAAUUUUCUUUUGAAUUGAUUUGUAUGCAAACACCCCUCCUAACUAUGAGAUCAAGACAGCAAUUAGCUGCUUAAAUCAAAGAGAUGAAGACCAUUUCAAAGUUAUCAUUUAUAAAGUUAAAAUAUUCAUUCCAAUUCCAAUAAUAGAAAGUCAACAAAAUAUAGUAAAUUAUUAUCAUGCCGACGUUAUGAUUGUGACUUUGAUUUUCUUGACAGCAUAGAAUUAGAUCAAUGAUUUGUUGGUGGAAUUUCACAUUCUAGUCAACAAAUCACACAUGUCAUAUCACGUCCUUGUUUGUCUGCAAAGAACCGAAGAAGACAAUGGAUUUGAGUUAUUUCGAGGGGUGGUAAAAUGGACCGAACCAGCAGGACCGACCCGUUUAGUCGGUUUUUUUGGUGGGUUGAGUCAAAUAUUUAAACUUAUUUUUUAUAGUUGGCUUGUCCCUCUUGAUUCCUUGAAAAAAACAAGACGGGAUGAGCCGCUUAACUCAUUUUUUUAAGACUUAUUUUAUCAUAUUAGAUUUAUUUUGAUUUUUUUUUUUGACAAAGAUUUAUUUUGGUUGUUAGAUUUAUUUUAGAAUUUAUUUUAUGUUGUGGAUUUGAAAGUGCGAGAUAAAUCAUAUCUAUCGUGAAGUUAAUCAAUGUGCAGAUAAAUUAGUUAAUAUUGGUUAUGCUUGAAGAGUUUUAAAAAUCGGACCGAACAUCAAAUCGAUCAAGGCACUGGAUCACUGGGUCAUUAGUCCAACCAUUGAGUCACUAGUCGAACCGCAUGACAAAACCAUAUUAAAUCGGAAAGCUCGAUAGUAUGACUCGUCUCUAUGAAAAAUUUGUUGUAUGAUUUAUCUUUAUUGAAUCAUGUGAUUUGAUCUAUAUAAAAAUAUCCAAGUGCCAUGGUACCUGUAAAAUAAAAUAAAAAUCAUAAAAAAAAAAUAGCAUUGUUUUACUCAUAAAAUAAAUGAACAUGUGAAAAAUAUAAUAUGCAUAUAGGUUAAUUGGAUUUUUUUUGGGUACAACACACACUACAAAAAAUAAUAAUUAAGGGUAGCAUAAAAAAAAGUAGUUAUUAAACAAGAACGAUUUCUCUUGAAGGAAAAAAAAUCAUACAAUAACGAUUUAAUUAGUAUAAAAUGAUUGAUUAUAUCAUUAAAAAAUUACUAUUGUGCCAAACAAAUAACAUAAGUAAAACGCAAAGUUUUCAAACAGAGCAUAAAACAUCACGUGAUUCUAUAGAGAUGGAGGGUAAUAUUGACAUUUUUUAAUAUGUAGGGUUUCCUUUCUUUUGUUUAAAGAGGUAAAAAUAGUGACUCUUAAUAAAUAUCCUCCGUCAAUUAUUCUCUUUAUAAUUUCAUCUCCAAACAACAAUAUCAACUGUCUCUUUCUCUCAAAAAAAAAAAAAUAAAAAAAUCAGCGGUCUCUUAUUAUAUUUACGAUUUUCAAUCUAUCUAAAUUUCCCUUUUUGUUUCUUACUUCUUAUUUCUUGUUUCUCCAUCUCUAAUGAAAUCUAGAUCUGCCAAUUUUUCAAUUAUUAAGAAAAAGUAGAGGUCAAGCGUUGAACUGGCCGGUUUACAGAAAUUCUUGAGUCAUCGGUUUAUUUCAAUUUUGACCGGUUCACGCCGGUUCCCACUAGAUCAUUAAAAUGACCAAUCUGAUAACCAGACCGGACCGAUUACCCUACAGGUUAUUGGUUCAACCGGUUCGAUCGAUCGAUAUGGUCCGAUUUUAUGAACUUACAAAAGAAACGUUAAUUUAUGAGUUGUUUGAUAGUGAUUGUUUAAAAUGAAAUUAUAUAUAGAAAAACUUUUCCCUAUAGUUGAACUUACGAAAUGUUACUUACAAGUGUAGCCACUGAAAGUCAAUGUCUGGAAGGGUUAACUUAGAUUUCAACAAGAGCAUACAUUUUCUAACUACAUUUUUAAGUAACAUCAACAUCAUUAUCCUUAACUUCAACGGUGAACUAGAAACAUAGUAUUGUGUGGUACUAGUAAAUGACAAAAGAAAAUGAUGUGAACACAAUAUUUUUGUUGACAAUAAAAUAUUGGGAAUCUUUGAAUUUUUUGUCCUAGAAAUCAUACAUAGCUCAAUCAGCGUAAUCAGUUCUAAUGAUAUAAUUAACCUUAUUUUAUCACUUAACCAAUUCCUACUUGGCAUCAUAAUCAGCCUAUAAUUUAGAAUCAGAUCAUCACCUAAGUAAUUCAGUUAAUCUAUUUUUGUCCAACAAAAAUCGAUUAAUCAAGUUCGUUUUCUAUAUUAACCAAAUUCCAGCCUCUAAAUAGAUUUCUACGUACUGAAAAUUGAUUUUUUACAACAAAUAAUCUGGUUUAAACUAUCGAAGUCAUAGAGAAAGGGAAAAAAAAUUCAUAUAACAUCAACAACAAACAUAACACAAUUUACAUGAAAUACAUGAAUAAAUGUAAGAAACAUAAUUUAUGGAUGAUCGGUUAUAGGGCUUUGCUUGCAAACUUGUUAUCUAUUGACUGUAGAACUCGCUGAGAAUGUCUCAGUUUGUGAAUUAAUCUACAAAAAAUUGUUUUGAUACUUUCAUUAAAUGAUGAAUGAUUAUAUCAAAUGUCUUGACAAUGUUGGAGUUUCAAAACUGAAUUUCUAUUGAUUUUCAAGCAAACGAGCAAGAUAUAACCGCUGUUUAAAUUUUCAACGAACUCUGAUUUGCCACAAAAAUAUUUUGAAUUGAAAUCCAUUAUUUUAACGGGAAACUUGGUGACCAAGAAUAAUUUUGUGGUCUAGAAUAGUCCACAUAUAUAUGAGAUGUUUUUAAUUGUUUGUCUAGACUUUGAUUGUGUGUUUUUUCUUUGUUGGGUCAAACAAUGUAGUGGUUUAAACUUGGCAAUUUUAAACAAUUAGUCCUUUAAUUUAAUUUUAGGUAACACUUUCGUCCUUUAUCUUCUUUUUUUAACGAUUUAGUCCUUUAUGUUAUAAAAUGAAACUAUUUUAUCAUUUUUUUAUGAGAUUUUUUCAAUGAAAUUUGAUUUUCUAGACUAGUAUGAUGAAGAUUUGCGUUUGUCUAUGAGUUUGAUGAAUUUUUAUUUUGGAAUUUUUGAUUAUUUUUGCAUAAAAAGGAUAACUAUGUUGUUAUUUUAUAACAUAAAGGCCUAAAUCGUUACAAAAAAAGAUAAAGGACAAAAAUGUUAUCUAAAAUUAAUUAGUUAAGGGACUAAUUGUGUAAUUUUACCUUUAAACUUUAAACAUACAAAUGAAUUUGGUUCUAUUGCAUGUUUUGCAACAAAUAAUUUCUGAAAGAGUUGUACGCAUCCUGAAAGAAUUUUAGAAUGCUUGUGAUAUUAUAUUUGAUAAGUCAUUUGUGGAAUAUAUCAAUAUUAUAUUGGUUCGAGUGGAACUUAUUUUGUAUUAAAUUAGGUCUCGUGUUCAAGUAUUGGUGAUGAAAAAAAUGUACUUGGGAAGGAAGGUUCCAUAAAGGAUAAUCAAAUUCACAUGCAGAGAUUACUAUUUACCGGUAAAGGUAACAUAGUUACAAAACAAAGUCAUAUUUAAGUGAAAUUUACUACUCCCUCCGAUCCUUGUGCAAAGAUGUAUUAGGUUUAUUAGUUAUUAGAUUGAGAACAAUUUCGCAGCCACAACAAUCAGGGCAAUACAAGAACUCUUCCCAAAUUAAUAAAUAGGAAACAAAUUUGUUUAUUGACAAAACUGAGUAAACUAUGAUCAAAUAAUAGUUUUUUCCUUAACAAUGGUAGUAUUCAUCUCAAGCAUAUUAUUUACCUGCCAAUGACAUCACUCAAAGUUACAUUGUUGUUUGAGUUAGAUCGAUGACUUUGUUGAGAAGAUUCUGUACUUCGAGAAUUUUGGUUGUGAACAAAUGCAACUUUACCGGGAGGUGGAAGAUGUGUAAUCUCACUUAUGAGCAUCAAAACAACAGUUGAUAUACUUGGUCUUUCUUUUGGAAGUUCUUGCACACAAAGAAGUCCUAUGUGCAUGCACCUCAACAUGCUGCUUUCAAAGGAUGCAUCCCAUACCUCUCGAUCUAUUAGGGAUAUAGUAUUUUCUUCUAACCAUAGCUUCCAUGCCUAGAAAGAAACAAAACAAAGAUAAAGUUAUUACUAAUAAUAUUGAGAUUCUUUCUAAAUUUGCCUCAAACACUCUUUUUAUUAUUGGUUAAAAUUUGCGCAGACAUUUCAGUUGUGAAAAUGGAUCCCAUAAUAUAAAAACUCUAAUUCACGUAAAAUAAUGGAACCCACACAAAUUUUAGACAAUAAUGAAGUGAUGAACAUGUAUUGCUAAACUUUUUGUCAAAUAAAGUAAUAGAGACAUGGAUUACAUAGACUUACAAAGCCAACAAGGCUAAGAGAAUCCUCAUUUUGAUAAAAGCUGUUAUUUCUUCGUCCGCUUACAAUCUCUAGCAAUAAAACACCAAAGCUAUAUACAUCUGAUUUCUCUGAGAAAAGUCCCCCCAUUGCAUAUUCAGGCGGCAUAUAACCACUACAUUUAGAGCAUAUAUAUUAUAAUAAGUACAUAUGUAAUAACUAACUCACUAAUUUGUAAGAUUAAUUAUUUUAACAUUAUAUUGUCAAAUGAUAUAGGAAUACUUACUAAGUUCCAACAACCCUUUUUGUGUUAGCUUCAUCACCUUCUCCACCUUUAACAAUUCUAGCUAAACCAAAGUCUGAUAUUUUUGGAAUCAUCUCAUCAUCAAGUAAGAUGUUGCUUGCUUUUAAAUCUCUGUGUAUAAUCUUAAGUCUCGAGUCUCUAUGAAGAUACAUUAUUCCUCGAGCUAUUCCUUCAACUAUGUUCGACCGCUUUCUCCAAUCUAACUUUUUCUUUUGUAUUGGAUCUUAAAAAACAUAAACAAUAACUUAAUGUGAUGACAAAUUGAGUGCUUUAAGAACAUUGAGCAGCAUGAAACACACUAAGAAGAUAUUUGGAUAUACAAUAUAAUUUUGGAUUUAUAAACUAUGUGUCAUGCUAACUGGUGUUCCCGGGCACUGGUUAAAGAUAUCAAAAACAACUUCUGUCAGUAAGUUAUAAGAAUGAGUUUUUGAAAAUUAAGUAACGUAUCUUAAGCUAAUUUAUAGGCUCUUUCAAAUAUUCAAUAUGUUUAUUUAACAUUUCAAAAAAAUUCAUUAAUUAUUUUAGGCUAAAAGUAAUUGAACUAACAAUUUAAUUUUAGGUUAGAAUACAAAUGAGUGAAAAGAACUAACCAAAGAGAAAGGCAUCCAAACUUUUAUUUGGCAUGAACUCAUAGACCAACAUUUUCUCUCCUCUUUCAACACAACAACCAAGAAGUCUUACAAGAUUGCGAUGUUGAAGUUUAGAAAUCACUACAACUUCAUUCAUGAAUUCUUCUAUUCCUUGUCCAGAUGCUUUUGAGAGUCUUUUCACAGCAAUUUCUUGACCAUCUUCCGUGACUCCCUAUAUAGUAUAAAAAAUAUUUUAAUAUUGAAUUUAUGAUAUAAUACAAAAAAUGUCAUACAAAAUCUUAGACAAAAUCACCUUGUAUACCGGGCCAAAACCUCCCUUGCCAAGCAUAUUAUUAAAAUGAAAACUGUUUGUGGCAGUUUCAAGCUUUUCAAAAUCAUAUAGUGGUAGCUCAUCCAAUUUCAUUUGUUUACAUUCUCUAGUAGUCAAGUUUCGAGAUUGUCUUCCUGAAAUGAAUUUUUCAAGUGUUAAGAAGGGUAUAUAUUGUCAACAUGAAAGAAAUUCCAAAUUUACAAAAACAUUAGUUCUUUUAAUAUCAAAAGUAUGUAUAUGCUUCAUACUUGAAUGUUAUUGUGUUUGCAACUUAUGCGACGUUGAGGGGUUGCGUGAAGGUAGGGUUUUUAGGGUAUACCAGAGGGGUUUUAACAGAUUCAGAUGCAUUCUCUCAAAUUUCUCUCCAUGAAAUUUUGUCCCACAAACCCUAAUUUUCAUUACAUCUUUUGUUAACCAGUGAUCAUGAAUAGUCUCUUUCAAGUAAAGAAUUAUCCUUAUAACCUCAAUUUGACUGUUGUUGUUGUUGUUCCUCUAGGUAAGAUUCUUUCUUUAGUUCAAGUUUCCUUUUCAACUAGUAUUCCCAUUCUAUUGCUGUUGUUGUUGUUGUUUUUUACAUUUUGCUUAAAGAUUCUACCUUAUGUUGUGUCAGGAAUGGGAUUAGGAGACCAAGUUAUUUAUCUAAGUUUGUUCAAUUGUUCUCUCUCACUUAGGUAAGGGUUAAAUCUUUGGUUCUUGAGAUUUAAUUUUUGUGUUGUUCUUGUAAUUAAAUUGGUAAAUGUUUGUUAUCCUAGGAGUGUUGUCAGUUGUCUAGCAAUGGAGUCACCUUGGAAGGAGUUAAUCCAAGGAUUUCACUACUCAAACUAAGGUAAUGAUUGAGUUAACUAGAUCUUAAAUCAUAGGUCCUCUGAUGUAAGACCAACAACAAUGUCUCAUUUCUCUAUUUUGUUUGGGGAAAAGCUAUCAAGUAUGGACACUCUUUGGAUUAGACGUGUUCAAGCAUUCAACACGUAUCGUGUUCGAUAUCGACAACUUUCUUUAUCAUAUUCACUUUAUGUUUUCAUUUUUUCUCUCUAUUGUUUUGGUUUUUGUGUCAAAAUUAUCAUAUAAAAUAGGGGAGCUUCUAUGGUGCAGUCAGCAAACUGACUUUUUUGGAAAAGUUAAUUUUGAUCUUAAUGUGUAAUUCAUUUUUAAAUUGUUGAUUACAAAUUAAUGAUCAAUAGUAAUUCAUCUAGUAAUGCUUGCAACAUCUUGGACUUACAGGUACUAUUUUAUCGUUGGCAUCUUUAACAUGCAAACAUAGUUGAUGAUAUUAUGUGAUAGUCUUAUGUGUUACACUUUGUGGGGUGUUACACUUAAACAAGGUAGAAUAAAAUUAGAUUAAGUGUAGUCUUGUUAAUUUGAUGAAUUGAUGUUAGGCUUAAUUGCACUUUUGGAUCCCUAUCUUUCCAAAAGUUGCGGUUAUGGACCCCUAACUAAUUUAAAUACAAAACAGCCCCCUAUGUUUUGAUUCUUUGGCAGUUUUGAACCCCCAGUCCAGUGUUGACUCGGUCAAUGCUGACGUGGCACCCUAAGUGAGGUGCCACAUGUCAAAUUUUUUAUUUUUAUUUUGCCUUGGGGGUCCAAAACUGCCAAAGAAUUAAAACAUAUGGGGCUGUUUUGUAUUUAAAUUAGUUAGGGGUCCAUAACCGCAACUUUUGGAAAGAUAGGGGUUCAAAAGUGCAAUUAAGCCCUUGUUGUUACUAUGAGGACUGAACUUUUGAUGCCACUGUACAAACAGUCAGGUAUUACUCACUAUCUUUUUUAUGCUAGUGUUAACUUCACCAAAAAAGUCAUUCUGAUGACUUGACCAUAAAAUUUUCCAUAAAAUAAUUGUUCAAAUAACUUUCUAUCUUUUUGAAAAUGGAAUUACACCCUCCAAUAAAUGUCACUCACUUUUUAACACAUGCUUUUCAAUUCAAGUUUGAACUAGAAAUCAGGAAACUUUACCUUUAUGCCUAGCAGAACGUCUUAGCCACAAAAGAUAAGCACAUACAACCAAAGUAAAUGCUCCCGUGCCCCCAGCAAUUGAAAUGAUUAAAAAACCCUUCUUGUGCCCCUUUUCCUUUUUAACUGCACCCGUAUAUGAUUCAGCUUAUUAGAAUGAAUAAAAGCUUAAACAAAUUAUCUCUAAAAAAAAAAAAAAAACUUAAACAAAUUAAUACAUUUUUAAGGAAAAAUAAAUAAAUCCUUGUCCACGAGGUGUGAGCUUGGUAAUGAAAAUUUGACUUCAUAAUUGAAAGCAAAUAGUUCAAAUCUCAUAUAGAAGAGAUGUAAAUUGAUUAUUGGUUUCACCGUUGUUGAUAAAAAUAAAAACAAAAAUAAACUCUUAAAAAGAAAGAGCGGAAAGAUACCAAGUUCUGCCGGGACACGGAUGAAGAGAUCAACUCCUCCAUGAGGAAAGUUUUGCAAACCAAUUAAGUCUCCACUCCAAUACACGCAACCUAUAUAACGAUCAUAUGCAUAUGCCAAACAAGAACAAUUUACCAAACAAUCUGUUCUACAUUUAUCUUGAUUACCAGCUGAUCUCUCAUUAAAAUCAGGAACUUUCAUAUUCCGAUUCACCAAAAAACCAUCUUGUUUAAAUUCAUUUGAUCCGGUCUUCAACAUCUCACACUUCAAGUUCAUUCCUGCUGUCCUCACACAACCAUUAGUCCAAUUCCUUGAACUCCAUUCCACCAAAUUCUUUGGCUCAAACCCUUUAAAACAACUACAAAUAUUUGGUACACUAGAAUUAUCACAAUUUCCAAAUGGCCCACAUUUUCCAUAAAAAUCACACUCAUUUUGAUCCACCUCAAGUCUAAAAUGUUCCUUUUUAUUCUUAUACUCAAUCAACUUAAGUGUCCCAUGUGGUGUCAAUGAGAGAAUUCCAAACAUAGUUUUGUCGGCGAAAUUAUAAGUUAUAAAAGUGGUUCCAUCAUCGUCGACACCUAAACGCCAACCAAAUAGAUAUUCGGUUGACAAUCUUGGCGUUCCGAGAAAAACCCUUCCAUUCCAUGGACCAGUUCUCCAAUAAAUUUUUUUAUCUUUCCAAAUGAAAACUUCUGGUACAUCCAAUCUUUCAACACUAAUUGUAAAAUGUCCCGAAGAAGGAUCAUUGUCACUUUUUCUUGCUACAAAAGCAAUUUGCUUACCUGUAACUUUAUUAGAUGCAAUUUUCAUCGAUGGAACAGCUGAAUCUGCAGGGUGUGUGAAACUAUCCCAGAUUGUUGCUCCAGAAUUGAUGUCUCUUAGAAUCAAGUUCCCUGCAUCAUCAAGUUUAGCUGUUGAAUUUGUUGAAGAUGAAAUGUUUGUUGACCAAAUGAUGAUACCAUUUGGUUUGUUCAAUAUUACAAGAUUUCCAUCUUUGUGAAUUGUGACAAUUCCAUUUGAAUCUUUGAGUGGUUGAUCUCUGUUUGCAAUCCAUAUGUUGUUGGUCUCAUUGAUGUACCAAAUUCCUAAGUAACGGUUGUUCGAAUUUAAUGGGCUGAAAAAUCCUAGCUUGAGGUCUGUGUUGUUUGAGGUUAUUGUUUCAUUGUCUUUGAGUGAUUUUGAUGAUGUAAUGGCGUUGUUGGUAGAACUAUAACAUGAAUAAAAUGUGCAAAAUAUGAGGAAUGUAAUGAAUAAGUCAUUUAUAUUAUGACUUAGAAAAAGCCAUAAAUGUGUAACAAAACUGUUUUAGAUGAUGAUGUUUUUUGAGGAAUACUAGAACUUAGAUAGGCUUUAUGAGUUUGUAAUUUGUAACAUGUUCCUAAUCAAACUAUCAUGUGGAAGAUGUUAUUGUUGAAUUGUGGCGUCAUUGAGAUUUGAGAUGCAUUAUUUUAUUAUCAAGAAGCCAAAUUUUGUAUGGUUAUUUAAUUAAAAAAAAAUUAUAAAUGAAAAAUUAUGUAAAGAACUAAGAAGUCAACUCGUGACGGACAAUUAUGAGGGUUGUUGCUAAGGGUGUCGGGAGAUCGAUUAGGAUUGAUUUUGAGGUAAAAUUUUAUUUGAUUCAAAGACCUAAAUGAAUAUGUGGUUUAGUUUAGUUUGAUUUGAAGUUUUAUUAAAAAAACCAUAUCUUAUUAAACAUUUUCUAUUGGCACAUAAGUAGUUAAUUUUUUUUUUUGAGGGAAUAAGUAGUUAGUUUUUAUUGUCAAAAGGAAAAAAAUAUUAGUAGUUAGUUUUGUUAAGGUGAGUGACGAGGAAAAUGUUAGUAGCAGGAUUGAACCUUCUUGUUGGUCUCCCUAGCCAACAAUUAGGCUAGUCAUUGAGAAAAAUGUUAGUAAUUAAUUUUUAAUUAGAUGUAGUUAAUUUGUAUAAAAAAUUAGAGUGACUCGAUGAUAUUUUAAAAGGUAUUUCCUCCGUCUCAAAUUGUAUGUCACUUUAGAAAAAUAAUUUGUCCUAAAUUGUAUGUCACUUUACAAUACCAGUGAAACAUUAAUGUUAUUUUUUCUAUUAUAUCAUUAAUUAUUUAUUACUCUUUCUUUUUUCAAUUCUUUUAUUUAUUUUUCCCAUAUCAUUUAUUAAGGACAAUUUUGUAAAACAACUCAUGAUAUCUCUUUCACACACAAUAUUAAUUACAUUUCUUAAUAUGUGUGAAAUGUCCAAAAUAUUAUACAAUUUGGGACAUAGGGAGUAUGUAAGAUCUUCAUACUCGAGUUUAAGUUAGAUGAUUAAUUUUUUUUUGGUAUAAAAGAGGGCCAAAAACCCAAAUAAUUUGCAUUUUAUUAACACAUAAUAACUUGAUUGUAUAUAUUACAUCAAGCAAUAUGUAUUAAAAAAAAUAAGAUUAUUAGUAAAUAUUACCAACAUUUUAUAAAUUAUUUUGGUUAAUGAUUGGUGUUUAUUUUUAUCUAAAAGCUGAUGGGAUGAUUUUUUUUUAAAGAAACUGAUGGGAUCAAUUUUAAUUAAAAAAAAGAACUAAAACAAUUUUAUAAAAUGGAUCUUGUUGAGAUUUCGAAUUCUUUAAAUCAACAUCCAAACACCCCUCCUAACUAUGAGAUCAAGACAGCAAUUAACUGCAUAAAUCAAAGAGACGAAGACUAUUUCAAAUGUGCCAUCUGUAAAUUUAUAAAGAAUUAUUAUAUUUUCCUAUAACUUUUUUUUUACAGGUAUUUUCCUAGAACUUCCAAAAUGUACGGAAGCAAUAUAAAUAUUAAUAUAGAAAAUUGAUUAAUAAUAAAUAAAUAAAAACACAUGUAAUCACUAACUUAAAUUACACAAAAUCCUUUAUAUAUAUAUAUACAGGGGACAUAUCAAGCGAGAAUGAAUAUUUUAGGUGAGAAUAGUAGGAAUAAUUUUGAGCCACUAGAUCAAAAAUUAAACGCAUAAUUUCCUCCCAUUUUUUUCCCACUUGAGAGGAUUCUAAUCCUCCUUUUUUUUUAAGAAAGAGAAGAUCCUAAUCAUAAUCACACGGUUCGUAAUUCGUUUCAGUACAUUGUACAUGUUUGGGUAUGCGGUUUAUAAAUAUAUAUGCUCAGUACAUUAUGGAUUUAUGGUAGUUUUAAUUAAGGGUUAAUUAAGUUUUUGGUCUCUAUAAAUAUCCGCAGUUUUGUUUUUAGUCUCUAUAAAAUAAAUCACACUUUUUUUAAUGAUUUUUUACGUACUUGUUUAAAAUAUUAUAAAAGGUUCCGUCACAAUAAAUUAGCUCAAAAUUUUAUUUUUAGGUCCAAAUUUUCGUUAGUUUUAUCUUGAAUUUAUGGCGUUUUUAAAAAAUUAUAUUUAAUUCAUUACAUGUUAAAAAAUUCUAAUUUUUUAUAAAAGAGAUUAUUAUAAUGUUCUUAACAUGUCUGUUAACAAUCAUUUAAAAAUAUAAAAGUUUAAGUAUAAUUAAACAAAUUUCAAUUUAAUAGGGAUCAACACAUACUUUUAAUCCUUGUAAAAUUAAAAUUUGCUUAAUUGUGCUUAAACUUUUAAAUUUGUAAUAUAUUUUUCACAUACUUACUCAGAAUAUUAUACAAAGUUCCUCCGCAAAAAAUAACUUAGAAUUUGGCUUUUAAAAUUUGGCUUUUAAAAAUUUGGCUUUUAAAAAUAACUUACUCAGAAUCUUAAAAAUUUGGCUUUUAAAAAAUUCAUAUUUAAUUCAUUAUAUGUUAAAAAACUAAUUUUUUUUUAUAAAAGAGUGUCUUACGAUGUUAUGAACAUGUAUGUAAAAAAUCUUUUAAAAAUUUAGAAGAUUAAACAUAAUUAAACAAAUUUUAAUUUAACAGGGACUAAAAACACUAACAGAAAAUUUUAUAGAGACUAAAAAAUGUGAUUUAUUUUUAUAGAACUAAAAACAAAACUUCAGUUAUUUAUAGGGACAAAAAACUUAAUUAACCCUUUAAUUAAAUUAGAACUUGGAUGGGAACAAUGAUAGUGAACUGUCACUUUAGUUUACCUCCUCUUACUUCAUCUGAUAAAACAAACGCUUGGCUGGGGUCUAGUGAACUGUCACUUUAGUGAUAUAAUUAAAAAUAUAAUUUAUUUUGUAAUAAUAUUUUUAAAAUUAAAAAUAUAUUAAUCAUAAGUAUUAAUUUAUCAUUUUUUUAAAAAAAAUACUCUUUCAAAACUUAUAGUAGAUUUCUCAAUUUUUUCAUACAUUUCUCACUCCCAAAGCAUUUCAUUCUCUAUUCUUUCAAACUCGCAAACAAUGCCUAAAAGAGGAUACGGAGAGAGUUAAGAGAGAGGAUGAGAGAAAUUAGAGUAAAAAGAGAGUUGCAAAACACCAAUAUUCAUUGGUUCAAGUGUAACUUUUUUGAAUUAAGUAAAGUCAGUGUCAUGUGAAGAUUACUAGUUAUUGAUAAUUUCGGGAGUUACUGAUAAAGUCGGUCGAUGCUUUGAACUAAUAACGUAGUUGCAAAAUUAAGUCAUAUCUCUAUAUACAUGUAUUCUAAGCUACAUUUCGCCUAUGUGUCACCUUACCAAUGCCCCCCUUUCUAACUAAUCUCUCAUACUUAUGCCAAGUGGCUCUCUUUUGUUCUUGAUUCUUUACUAGCCAUUCUCUACUAUCUAUCUUUCAUCUUUCAUUUCCUAUCCGUUGCAAAAACAUUUCAUUUACUUCACUUCUUGCAAGUUACACAAUGAAUGCAUUAUAAUCUAUUUUAUUAAUAUUGAGGGGUUACGUUUUAAAAUUGUUCAUAUUCUUAAUCAAGACUCUUACACACACAAGUUUACGCUCCUCAUUUUUUUCUAAGCUUAUUAUGUGUUGCUUAUGUUAUCCUUUUCAUUUCUUCUUCCAUUUCAUUUUUUGAUAGUUUUGCUUUUCUCUUCAAGCCUUGUGUGUGUGUGUUUCUAUUUCUAUAAUAUUUCGUAUUCUCUAAUGGAUAUUUUUCAUUGAUUUCAAAUACACAGGUUUUAGGAAAAAGGAGAGUUUUGUUGAAAGGACACUUCAUAUAUGAAAUGGUAGUUGUAUUUUUUUCAUUGAAAUUAAAGUAUUUUUUUCAUUAUUAUUUUUUAUUUAACAUUGUUAUGAGAUAAAGAGUUCACUAAACAUGAAUAUUUUUUUAUUCAUUUUUAUUUCAAGCUAACAUGUGGUUGUUGCUAUAACUAUUAGAGAUUUUUCCUUCUCAACUAAUUGUCAUAAGAUGGAGGAGGAUUGAGAUGGAUCUUACAAGAAACUCAAAAAUCUCAACACCAAAAUUCCUAAAGGGUCGAACAAGAGAAAGUAAGAAUCUUUAUCCAUAGGUGUUAGUUUAAUUUGAUCAAGUAUCCGUGUCUUUGUAAUACGAAAAAAAUACUCUUAUUAUAUUUUUAAUUGAAUAGUUUCUUAUAAGAUCAAGUAUCCUAGGUAAAUAAUUGUAGAAGCACACAUCUUUUCAAAAUUCUAAUUGAAUGUUCUAUAUCUUCGUGAAAUUGAAGAGUCAAAAUCAUGUUUUGAUGAUUUACAUGAAAAUUUAACCCUUGACCAUGGAAUUGGCUGACCUUCAUACUUUCCAUCAAUUGAGUUUUCUACAACUAAGAGUAAAUUUGGAUGCAUAUGAUGAAAUUGUCUAACUAUACUCACAUUCUUUUGAGGAAGUUUUAUUAUUACAUUAUUUUAAGGAUAAUUAAAUGACUUUAUUGCCAUUUAGUUGUUUUCUUUUAAUUAAAGUUUAAUAAAUUUAUUAGCAAUAUUUUUAGAUUUAAUUUCAUAAAGUUUAUAUGGAUUUUAUAUAUAUGAAAGUAUGAGGUUAAGGUUGAAUGUAUAAGUGUUUAUAUCCAUUAUAUAUUAGUCUUCUAUAUUUAUAUUGUAAAGUAAGUUUGAGUUACUCUUGAUCUAGCAUUGUGAUGAUAUGGUACCUUAAAGAUCUUCUCAUAGAUUAAAUUUGACUCAUUAUUCUCAAGCUAUGAUUAUGCAUAUGUGUCACCUCUAAAAAAAACAUUCUCCUAUAUAGUAUAACUUCUUACCCUUUCUCAUUCUAUCUAAUCUAAUAAUUAUAACAAUGCAAGUAAUUUUAAGUUACAAAACUUAUCAUCCUUUCUUAAUAUAUUUGUAGUUAUUAUUUAUCCUACAUUCAAAAAGGCGUAGAGGUAGAAAAUGUGAGAAAGAGUUAGUAAAAAAGAAAGAAAAUGAGAAUGAGAAAUGAAUUAAAAGAAGAGUUGGGAAUAAUUAUUUUGGAGUGCAGUGUUGGAUUAGAGGAGGAUGUGAGGUAAUUAUGUGUAAUUAUGUAGCGUAUAAUUGAUGAGUUGUAAACAAAUAAUUUCAGGGGUCUAUUUUAAUAUAUUAUAAGUUAUGGAAAAAGAGUAUGUGAAUAUUAGGAACCAUAUUAAAUAAAUUAUUAUUUUUUACUUGAAUUAUUUGAAAUACAAUUUAAAUCAAGAAAAAAAUUAUAAGUUGUCAUAUUUUUCUUCAAUCUAAUUGUUAAACUUAAAUUAAAUACUAUGAAACUUUAACUAUCUAAAAAAAUAUUGUGACAUUUUAGCGUAGACACAUCGAGACAAUGAAUCACUGUAUUAGAGAUCAAGUAAAUAAAGGGAGACUGAAACCGCUACAUUGUCCUACUGCUAUAUAUGGAAGCAGACUUUCCAACAUAAUUUGUGAAGCAUGACAAGUUUGAGGAGCUGAGGAACAAGAUGGGUGUCGCAUCUUUGGGGCAUCUAUCUAUCUAUCUAUCUAUCUAUCUAUCUAUAUCUUCUUCUCUAUGUAAACUAAACUUGACUCACUCUAAUGCAAGGAUUGUGCCCAUGUGGCACCUCUAAAAAAGGCUUAAUUUCUAUUCUCUAAUUAUUCUAUCUAAUAAACUAAUCUAAUAUGUAACUUAUCACAUAUUUUUGAUCACAAUAAUGCUAACUCAAUCAUACAAUACAUUAGAAUACAAUGGGUUAUGAUCUCACUCUAGACAAAAAUAACAAAGAAGUUACGUUAAUGAAUAGAAACAUCAUUGUUUUUCUAAAUCUAUGUUUUAAGAAUCUAAUAGUAACGGUUUAUGCACCUAACAAACUAUUAAAACAUUCCAUAAUUUCUUACAACAUCAUCAUUGGAUGUAUCUUUUAACAUUCCUUCAAUUAUAACCUACAAAAUGGAAAAUUUUAAAGUGUACUUUUUUUUUUUGAAUUCCCACUCACCCUUUAUAACCACAUCUUAUGCCACAUUCAUUUUCACUCAAUCCGGGAUGUUUCCACCAUGCCUUCUAUAAACUCUUGGAUGAUACUCUUCAAUCAACUCUUGGAUGAUACUCUUCAAUUUUGUAUCAUUAUAUAUUGAAAGAGCACAUUAUUUUCUUAACAAGAUUGAUGUUGUGGUUUAUUUUUAGAGAGAGUACAUUAUUUUUUAACAAGAUUGAUGUUGUUUUUCUUUUAAUUUUGUUUUCAGGUUCUAUGCAUAGCAAUUAGAGAGAACAUUUUAGAGCUUUGUUAUCGCAAAGUCACAUAAAGAUAUUUAAGCAAUUGGUUUGACUGACAACAAUAUGAUGCAUUUAAAAUAUUGGAAACAAUAUUAUAUUUUAAGGUAGGAUGGAUAAUGUGGGAAAACUGGUGGAUCAAAUUAAAAAUAUUGCUUGGGUAUGGUUCUUGAGCAAAUUGCAAGCAAUAUUUUAAUCAAACCCGUGCAACGCACGGGUUAUAUACCUAGUUUUUCAGUAUUCCAGUUAAAUUCACUAGUAGUACAUAGAUAAACGAUAGAUGUAUUAUGUUUAUUAUGCAUCAAAUUGAGAACAUUUCAGCAGCACAACAAUCAAGGCAGUACAAGAAGUUCUCUUCCCCAAAUUAAUAAAUAGGAAACAAUUUUUUUUUUUUUUUUUUUUUUUAAGAAACAAAUUUAUUUAUUAUUGACAAAACUGAGUAAACUAUGAUCAAAUAAUAGUUUUUUUUCAGGACCGUCUCUGACAAUUCUGAGGCACCGUUGCAAUCUUGACAGUUUUAAUUUAAAAAGUAUUCAAAAAAAAUUUAACAUCACUUAGAAUGACAAACAUCUAUGUUCUACUUAAAUAUAAAAGCAAUUGUUUAAACAUGACUUUUAUCCAUAGACAAAUUGACAUUUACCUAUGGACAAUGUAUAGUUGAAAUUAAAUAGUUGAAUUCUGAACUUUUACUUACAGAAAAAUGACAUUUUAUGACGGAUUUUGUCCGUAGUUACAAGUGUUUUUUCUUUUAUUUUCUUUUUUCCAAAUUUUGAAGCCUCUUUAAGUUUGAGGCCCUGUGCCAAGGACCCCCUGUUAACAAUGGUAGUAUUGAUCCCAUGCAUAUUAUUUACCUGCCUGUGACAUCGCUCAUGGUUACAUUGUUGUUUGAGUUAGAUCGAUGACUUUGUUGAGAAGAUUCUGUACUUCGAGAAUUUUGCUUGUGAACAAAUGCAACUUUACCAGGAGGUGGAAGAUGUGUGAUCUCACUUAUAAGCAUCAAAACUACGGUUGAUAUACUUGGUCUUUCUUUUGGAAGUUCUUGCACACAAAGAAGUCCUAUGUGUAUGCACCUUAACAUGCUACUCUCAAAAGAUGCAUCCCAAACCUCUGGAUCUAUUAGAGAUAUAAUGUUUUCUUCUAACCAUAGCUUCCAUGCCUAGUAAUUGAAACAAAACAAUGAUAAACUUAUUAUUAGUAAUAGAGAUUCUUUCUAAAUUUGCUUCCAACACUCUUUUAAUAUUGGUUAAAAUUUGCGUAAGUUCUUCGAAUGUGAAUGAUAUUGAAAACUUGACGCACAAAGAAUAGUGGAGUUCACACAAAUUUUAAACUAACAUUAAGUGUUGAAAGUGUAUUGUUAACACUUCUUGUAUUAUAGUAUAUGUAAUAAAGACAUCGACUAUAUAAACUUACAAAGCCUACAAGGCUAAGAGAAUCCUCGCUGUGAUAAAAGCUACUAUUUCUUCGUCCACUAACAAGCUCUAGCAAUAAAACUCCGAAACUAUAGACAUCUGAUUUCUCUGAGAAAAGCCCCUCCAUUGCAUAUUCAGGUGGCAUAUAACCACUGCAUUUAGGAUAUAUAUUAGACAAACCCAUAUUAUAAUAAGACAAAUAAUAAUGAAACAAUUUAUUUGUAAUAUUAAUUCCAACAUUGUAAUGUCCGAUGAGAUAUGAUUACUUACUAAGUUCCAACAACCCUUUUUGUGUUAGCUUCAUCAUCUUCUCCAAAUUUAACAAUUCUAGCUAAACCAAAGUCUGAUAUUUUUGGAAUCAUGUCGCCAUCAAGUAAGACGUUGCUGGCUUUUAAAUCUCUAUGUAUAAUCCUUAGUCUUGAGUCUCUAUGAAGAUACAUUAUACCUCGAGCUAUCCCUUCUAUUAUGUUUGACCGCUUUUUCCAAUCUAAGUUUUUCUUUUGUAGCGGAUCUUAAAACAAUAAAGAAUACAUUAAUGUGAUGAUAAAUUGGUGCUUUAUGAACGUUGAAAAGAAGGAAAACAUACUUAGGAGGCGUUUUUUAUAUACAACAUUAUUAAGUGCUUAUAUAUAACUAAUCUGUACAAUUGAAGAGGUAAUGCCCCCUAAGGAUAUAUAAUCUAUCAAUCGCUUAUAUAUAAAUUUGAAAACAAUUUAAGACACGGUUAUAUGAAGGAGUUUUUGAAAAUUAUAGUUGACAUAUCAUAAGCUUUUUUAUAGGCACUUUCAAACACUUAAUCAGGUGCUUAUAUUAGAAGCUGAGUUCAAAUAAUUUUUCAAACAUUUAAGCAGGUGCUUAUGUUUAUUGUAAUUAUUCAUUAAUGUAAUUAGUGUUAUAUAUAGCUAAAUGAAGACAUACAAUAGCUAAGAUAGGAUAGCAGUAGAAUAAAGAAACUAGUUACUAAGCUAAACUAGAUUGCUUGUUCUCUAAGGUAUCUUCUUCACUCUUGUUGUGUAAUACUUAUCACUGUACUACUAACUGAGCUAACAAUAUUAAUUUGUGGUUAGAACUUAGAAAACAAAAGUGGCAAAAUAACUAACCAAAGAGGAAUGCAUCCAAACUUUUGUUUGGCAUGAACUCAUAAACCAACAUUUGCUCUCCUCUUUCAACACAACAACCUAGAAGUCUUACGAGAUUUCCGAUGUUGAAGUUUAGAAAUCACUACUACUUCGUUCAUGAAUUCUUCUAUUCCUUGUCCUGAUGACUUCGAGAGUCUUUUCACGGCAAUUUCUUGGCCAUCUUGCAUUAUUCCCUGGAUAGUGUCAAAAAAAAAAAUUGGAUUUAUAAUAUAUAUUAUUCAAUAAAUAACAUAAAAAUAAGAAAAUCUUAGAUAAGAUCACCUUGUAUACAGGACCAAAACCUCCCUUCCCAAGAAUAUUUCCAAAGUGAAAGUUGUUUGUGGCAGCUUCAAGCUUUGCGAACUCAUACACUGGUAGCUCAUCUAUUUUCAUUUGGUUUUGUUCUCUAUUAAUCAAGUUUUGAGACUUACUUCCUGAAUACAUUUGUCAAUUGUUAACAAGAAUAUAUAUUGUCAAGCUAAAAAAAGAAUAAUCAAAAUUUGUAUAAAUCCAUUCUAAAUUACAAUUAUGUUCUAGCAUGGUUUAUGCAAGAAUAUAUGUUAUUAUAAAGUAACAAUAAUUGUUACCCUCUCUUCUAACAUUCAUUCACACACCCUCCUCUUACUUCAAUUCAAGUUUGAAAUAGAAAUAAGGCAACUUUACCUCUAUGCCUGGUUGAACAUUUUCUCCACAAAAGAUAAGCACAUAUAGCCAAAGUACAUGCUCCUAUCCCCCCAGCAAUGGCAAUGAUUAAAACACUCUUGUUACGCCCUUUUUCCUUUUUAGUAACCGCAACUGUAAGGACCCAAAUUCAGAUUAUUAGAGUCUAAAAACUUAAAUUAUUUUGAUAUUCAAUAAUUUAAAGAAAAUUUACCAAGUUCUGCCGGCACACGAAUGAAGAGAUCAACUCCGCCGGUAGGAAAUUUCUGCAAAUCAAUUAACUCGCUACUCCAAUACAUACAACCUAUAGAAGGAUCAUAUGCAUAUGCCAAACAAGUACAAUUUGCCAAACAAUCUGUUCCACAUUUAUCUUGAUUACCAGCUGAUCUCUCAUUAAAAUCAGGAGGUUUCAUAUUAUGAUGCACCAAAAAUGCAUCUUGUUUCACUAGAUUUGAUCCAUUCUUCACCAUCUCACACUUCAAGUUCAAUCCUUCUGUUCUCACACAACCAUUAGUCCAAUUUCCUAAACUCCACUCCACCGAAUUCUUUGGCUGAAACCCAUCAAAACAACUACAAAUUGGUACACUAGAAUUAUCACAAUUUCCAAAUGGCCCACAUUUUCCAUAAAAAUCACACUCAUUUUGAUCAACCUCAAGUCUAAAAAGUUCCUUUUUAUUCUUAUACUCAAUCAACUUAAGUGUCCCAUGUGGUGUCAAUGAGAGAAUUCCAAACAUAGUUUUGUCGGCGAAAUUAUAAGUUAUAAAAGUGGUUCCAUCAUCGUCGACACCUAAACGCCAACCAAAUAGAUAUUCGGUUGACAAUCUUGGCGUUCCGAGAAAAACUCUUCCAUUCCAUGGACCAGUUCUCCAAUAAAUUUUUUUAUCUUUCCAAAUGAAAACUUCUGGUACAUCCAAUCUUUCAACACUAAUUGUAAAAUGUCCCGAAGAAGGAUCAUUGUCACUUUUUCUUGCUACAAAAGCAAUUUGCUUACCUGUAACUUUGUUAGAUGCAAUUUUCAUCGAUGGAACAGCUGAAUCUGAAGGGUGUGUGAAACUAUCCCAGAUUGUUGCUCCAGAAUUGAUGUCUCUUAGAAUCAAGUUCCCUGCAUCAUCAAGUUUAGCUGUUGAAUUUGUUGAAGAUGAAAUGUUUGUUGACCAAAUGAUGCUGCCAUUUGGUUUGUUCAAAAUUACAAGAUUUCCAUUUUUGUGAAUUGUGACAAUUCCAUUUGAAUCUUUGAGUGGUUGAUCUCUGUUUGCAAUCCAUAUGUUGUUGGUCUCAUUGAUGUACCAAAUUCCUAAGUAACGGUUGGGCGAAUUUAAUGGGCUGAAAAAUCCUAGCUUGAGGUCUGUGUUGUUUGAGGUUAUUGUUUCAUUGUCUUUGAGUAAUUUGGAUGAUGUAAUAGUGUCGUUGACAGCACUAUAACAUGAAUAAAAUGUGCAAAAUAUGAGGAAUGUUAUGAACAAGUGGUUUUUGUUAUGACUUAGAAAAGCCAUGAACAUGUAACAAAAUGGUGUUUUUUGAGGAAUACUAGGAUUUAAUUUGGUUUGAUGAGAUUUGUAAUUUGUUUCAUGUUCCUAAUCAAAUUCACGUGGAAGAAGUUGUUGAAUUGUGGAGUCGUUGAGAUGCUCUAUUGAGUUUGCAAUUAGUUGACUUUAGCAACGUGCUAAGCAAUGGGAAUUACAUGGAAAAAUCAUAAGUUGCAUUAUUUUAUUACCUAUGAAGCCAAAUUGUGUAUUCCUUGCGGGUAGCUUUUUCUUGUACAAAUAAAAACAAAAGAACUUAGAAGUCAACUCGAGUAUUGCUUGCAUUCACGCUUCUUUAAUGUCAAAAUUUACAUUUUCAAUCCUUAAGCCCUUUAGUCUCUUUAUGUGUAUAUAUAAAUAGUUGUUGGAGCAAAGGAAAUGUUACGAUAUAUCACACUUUCCGAGAAGUGAAUCGAUGUAUAGAUUUUUUUGUUAAGUUUGAUGCCUCGUCGAACUUUGAGUUUCUUUGUCACGUGUCUACUUCGACGAAUCUUUUGAAUUUUCUUCGGAGUCAUGCAGCUGGAACUUUUUAUUUGAGAGAGUAAGCUCUCUUUUAUCUAUUUCUUUUGUUUUCCUUUUUUUUUUUUUUUUUUCUCUUUUGUUUUAGCAUUGUACUAAAAAAAAUAUAUAUAAAGAUGAUUAGGCUUGACUUGGUUAAACUGAAGUUAUCGACUUUCCUUAGAAAAAAUGUCCAAAGAUAUAUAUAAAGCAUUUAAUUUCAUUACAUCUUCGAAUUCUUCAAAUCAAUUUGCGAAUUUCUUAUGAAUUCUUCUGCUUGCAAUCGCACGUAACUGAGAGAUCAAGAGAGGGGGCAAUUCCUGCAUAAAUCAGAGACUAAGACCAUUCAAAGGUGCCUUCUGUAAUUUUACAAAGAAUAAUAUUUAGUGUUAUGUAAGCAAAUCAUUGUUCACAUUGUACGGAAGAAAUAUAAAUAGAAUCUAGGCUUAAUUGCAUUUUUGGACCCCUAUCUUUUCAAAAGUUGCGGUUAUGGACCCCUAACUAAUUUAAAUACAAAACAGCCCCCUAUGUUUUGAUUCUUUGGCAGUUUUGGACCCCCAGUCCAUUGUUGACUCGGUCAACGCUGACGGGGCACCCUAAGUGAGGUGCCACGUGUCAAUUUUUUUUUUUUUUUUUGCCUUGGGGUCCAAAACUGCCAAAGAAUCAAAACAUAGGGGGCUGUUUUGUAUUUAAAUUAGUUAGGGGUCCAUAACCACAACUUUUGGAAAGAUAGGGGUCCAAAAGUGCAAUUAAACCUAGAAUUUAAUUGAUAUACUUUGUGAGUGGAUUUUAUUUUACAGAGCAUUUAAUGAUGCAUUGUCAUGAUUUUUAUUUUUUUUGAAGGGAGUCAAUGAAUUUUUUAUUUGGUGGUAAAACUUUGAAUUUGAUAGAGGUGAACAAUUUGGUUAAGAUUGGUUUACAGUUAAAAAAAAUGUUUGAAUCAAUGAAAUUUACAUCGGUUAGGGUUUUACUAUUUUUCAAAAAUGGAACCUAACCAAUCUGGAUUUGUUUGAAAAUACAAUUGAAAAAAACCAUAUUUUAAUUCUCUUGUUACAUUUCAUAUUUCAUGCUCUCCGCGUCUCUAUUUUUUCAAACAACCUCAUAUUUCAUGCAUACUCAAAUAUUAUAUACUUAAAUUAAAACAAAUUCAUCAAACAAUCUAAAAUUAAAACAUACAUCUAUCCCAAAAAUACAUCCAUACAUCUAUCCCAAAAUACAUCCAUCAAAUAACAUCAUCACCGUAGUGUUAGAGAACAAGGAAUCGCCAUUCAUCACCAUAAUAAGAUUUUUCCAAAGGUUUUCCAAAUGAUUACCUCGGUGGGUUUAAGUUUGACAAAAAUAUCAAGAUAAUUUUUAUUUUUUUUUUAAAUUUUAAAUAGGUCUUUUAAUUGUUAAUUUAUUGCACCAUUAUCCCUGAAGUCAGACUCUCUUGCAAAAUUGUUGAGUGGUGGGUCAUUGUCAGCAAAUUUUUUUUUUUUUUUUUAAUUGAAAAACCCCAAAAACAAAUUAUCUUCAUCAUCCACCAUUUUGUUCAUCUUUUUCAUCAUUUGUUCAUCAUCAUCACAUUUUCUCAAAUCUCAUUCCUUCUUCUUUGUUAUAAUUCCAUACAAGAACAAAUAGGAAACAAGCAAACAAAAAGAGAAAUAGAAUGGAAUGGAAAACACUCAUUCCUUCUUCUUUCUUGCAUCCGCCCAAAUCAGAAACACCAGAUCUCAAUCUCUAGGAAUUAUUUUUCUACUGACUGCAAAUUUACUAGGAAUUAUUUCUCUAACAAAUUGAUCUCAUAAUCCAUGUUUCCCUCAAUUUAGUAGGUAUUCUGCAGUAUAUUUCUAGCUAAAUUCGUUUGCUAGUCAACAACAAAUUAGCUACAAAUAUUGUCGUAGCAAACUGCAUAUUAUCUUGUAGUGCAUUUGAUGGAUAUCCAUAUCAUGUGUAAAUCGGACAAAGUCAACCAUUUAGAAUUAAUUAAUUUAUCAGCAUACAGAAGCAAACAAUAAUUUAUGAAUUGUUGAUCGUGAUUGUUUAAAAGGAGAUUAGAUAUAGGAAAAACGUUUCCCAUCUUAGUUGAACUUGCAAAAUAUUUCCCCCUUGCAAAAGCCAAAAGGACAACUGUUAGCAACACAAAGUCGAUGUUGAGGGGGCAUACAUUUCCAUUUUCUUAUUACUAAAACAAUAGAACUGCGCAGUAUACAUUAUUUAUAGAGUAGUGAUAUUUGAACGACUCUUUUGGUACAACUUUUGGGACAACCUUAUUGUGUUCCCUUCUUAUUGGUCAAAAACAAUAAAGAGGGAAAAAGGAAGAGAGAGAAUAAGAAGAUAAUGUGAGUAUGAGAGAGAAUAUUGUACAAAAGUUGUACAAAAAUGGUUAUACAAAUAUCAUUUCUCUUAUUUAUAACUAUAUUUUGUGACAUGGUUGCUCAAAAAAAAAAAAAAAAAAAAAAACUAUAUUUUGUGACAUGGUUAUCCUUACCAUCGACCAUGAACUAGAAAAAUACUAUUAAUAUUUUUUUGUAAGUACAAUUCAGUUGGUAUAUUACAUAAGUAGAAUUCACUUGAUAGCUACAAUAACAUUGAUAUGUUGUGAUCCGUAUCUGAAAAUUGAAUGUAAUAACUAUGGUAAACACUAACAUAUGUGUCGUAGGAAUUGUGUUAAUUUAUUUUUCAAAAAGUUAAAAAUUAAUUUUUAUCAAUGAAUAAUUUUUGUUUGUACGUGGGGGGGUUGGUGUUUUAGUUGGCCGUGUUUGGAUGUUGGUGCUCAUUUCCAUGGUGUUCCAUCUAUAUACGGCACUUUGUUGUAUUUGUUUCUCUUGGCUAGUUUUAUGCGUUAAUAAAUUUGCUAUUUAAAAAAUAAUUACUUACAAGAGCAAGAUGGAUAUAAAAAUUUAGGUCUCAUUUACUUUGUGAAAAUAUUUUCGAUUUUCAUUUUAAAAAUGUGUAUAUUUUAACUUUCUAAUAAGAUGUGAGAUUCUUGUACCAAUCAUUAUCUGUGAUAAAGAGAAAAUAAAAUGUUACCAAGAGAAGAUUCAUUUUUGUUGGAAAUAUUGAAUACAUUUGUUGUCAUUUUCACUAUUUUUUUAAAAAAUAAAAUGCACACAAUUGUUCAUUUUAAUAUAUAAUAUAUUACCUCCUUCCUAUCAAGUAAAAUUAACUCAAAUUUUAGAAUGUGAAUGAAGAAAAUAUAUUCAGAAAGUAAAGGGAGCUUUAAAUUUGAAGAUAAUUAAGAAUAUGGACGUCUAUAUUUGCACCCAAUUUUUUAGCUACCAUAUUCGUUUAUCGCUAAAUAAACUUCACCACAAAGUUUGAAUUAAAAGAUAAUAAACACUUAAUACUUGAAACGAUAGACUCAAAAUACUUCAUAUAUCACAGUUGGUCCAUUGAAUGACACCAGUAAGAGUUUUACAAUCUGUCUCAAAAAUAGCAUAUACUCCUAGGAGUGUUUAUGCUGCCUCUCCCUCCUUAGCCUGCAUUACAAAUUCAUUUCAAACAGUAUAGAAGUUGCAUACAUACUUUUCUUGCUAUGAGUUUUCUCUUGUUCCGAUUUCGCCAUUAGCCCCAAACUAUACCAUAGCCAGCUUGCUCUUCGUUUCACUACUCUUAUGUGAUCCCAUGACUGUUGCAAGUUUUUUCUUAACAAUUAUAGUAUUGAUCCCAUGCAUGUUAGUUUACCUGCCUUGAACUUCACUGAGAGUUACAUUGUUGUUUGAGUUAGAUUGAUGACUUUUUUGAGAAGAUUCUGUAGUACUCUUUGAACUUUGCUUGUGAACAAAUGCAACUCUCCCCGGAGGAGGAAGAUGUGUAAUUUCACUUACAAGCAUCAAAACAACAGUUGAUAUAUUUGGUCUGUCUCUUGGAAGUUCUUGUACACAAAGAAGUCCGAUGUGUAUGCACCUUAACAUGCUGCUCUCAAAACAUGCAUCCCAUACCUCUGGAUCUAUUAGAGAUAUAAUGUUUUCUUCUAACCAUAGCUUCCAUGCCUGGUAAAAAAAAAACAAUAAUGAUAAUAAUAAGUUUCUUUCUGAAUCGGCUUCCAACGCUAUUAUUGGUUAAAACUUAUGUGGGUCUUUCCGGUGUGGAAAUGAGCUCCGACAAUCAGAAAAAGUGACCCUCAUAAAUUAGCAAAACCCACUCAAAAUUUUAGACAAGAAUGAAGUGUUGAAAGUGUAUUGCCAACACUUCUUUUCUCAUAGUAUGUAAUGAAGGCAUGGAGUAUUUAGACUUACAAAGCCUACAAGGCUAAGAGUAUCCUCGUGAUGAGAAAAGCUACUAUUUCUUCUUCCGCUAACAAUCUCCAGCAAUAGAACCCCAAAGCUAUAGACAUCUGAUUUUUCAGAGAAAAGCCCCUCCAUUGCAUAUUCAGGCGGCAUAUAACCACUGCAUUUAGAACAUAUGUUACUAUAACCCCAAGUAAAAAAAAUAAAAUUAAACCACUCAUUUGUAACACUAAUUCCAACAUUAUAAUAUCAAAUGAGAUAGUACUACUUACUAAGUUCCAACAACCCUUUUUGUGUUAGCUUCAUCAUCUUCUCCAAAUUUAACAAUUCUUGCUAAACCGAAGUCUGAUAUUUUUGGAAUCAUGUCACUAUCAAGUAAGAUGUUGCUUGCUUUUAGAUCUCUAUGUAUGAUCCUUAGUCUCGAGUCUCUAUGAAGAUACAUUAUACCUCGAGCUAUUCCUUCAAUUAUGUUUGAUCGCUUUCUCCAAUCUAAAUUUUUCUUUUGUAGUGGAUCUAAAGAAAAAUAAAGAAUACAUUAAUGUGAUGCCAAAUUGGGUACUUAAGAACUUUUAGCAGAGAAAUAUACUUAGGAGACGCUUGAAUAAACAACAUAAUUAAGUGCUUAUGUUUAAAUUAUUUUGACAAUUAAAGAGGUAAUGAGGAUACUGAAAACAACUUAUGGCACCAAGUUAUAUGAAGGAGUUUCAAAACAUUAGCUGACAAUAUUAUUAACUGUUUUAUAGACUCUUUCAAAUACUUGAUCAAGUGCUUAUAUAAUAAGUAAAGUCCAAAUAAACUUGUCUAAACACUUAAGCAAGUGCUUAUAUUAAUUAUUAAAUUAUGAACUUUUCAAGAAGUUUAGCUAGCAUGUGAAGAAAUUAUUCACUAAUUUUUUAAUCUACCACUAAGUGAGCUAAUAAUUUUAGUUUGAGGCAAGAAUAAAAAAGAGACCAAAGAACUAACCAAAGAGGAAUGCAUCCAAACUUUUAUUUGGCAUGAACUCAUAAACCAAAAUUUGCUCUCCUCUUUCAACACAGCAACCUAAAAGUCUCACAAGAUUGCGAUGUUGAAGUUUAGAAAUCACUACAACUUCAUUCAUGAAUUCUUCUAUUCCUUGUCCAGAUGCUUUUGAGAGUCUUUUCACAGCAAUUUCUUGACCAUCUUCCAUGACUCCCUAGAUAGUGUAAAAAGUAUUUUAAUAUUGAAUUUAUGAUAUAUAAUACAAAAUAUGUCAUACAAAAUCUUAAACAAAAUCACCUUGUAUACUGGGCCAAAACCUCCCUUCCCAAGCAUAUUAUUAAAAUGAAAACAGUUUGUGGCAGUUUCAAGCUUUUCAAAAUCAUAUAGUGGUAGCUCAUCCAAUUUCAUUUGUUGAUGUUCUCUAGUAAUCAUAUUUUGAGGUAGUCUUCCUGGAUUCAUUUGUCAGUUGUUAGCAAAAUAUAUAUUUGCAACAUCAAAAAAGUUCAAAACAAAAAUAAAAAUCAGGAAACUUUAACAAAAAUCAGGUAACAAAAAUAGAUAUAUAUUUACAUACACCCUCCUUUGUACUUACCCUAUUGAAAAACAAAAAUCUUAAUGCACUUCAAUGCAAGUUUGAAAUAGAAAUCAGGAAACUUUACCUUUAUGCCUAGCAGAACAUUUCCUCCAUAAAAGAUAAGCACAUAUAACCAAGAUAAGUGCUCCUAUCACCCCAGCAAUUACAAUGAUUAAAAAACUCUUGUUGUGUCCUUUUUCCUUUUUAACAGCAACUGUAAAUUAUACAAAUUAUUAGAAUUAAUAAAAGCUUAAACAAAUUAAUGCAUUUUUAGUAGUUGAAACAAAAAGAAUGUUUGUCCAUGAGGUGUCAACUCAGUGAUAAAACUUUAAUGUGUAGCUUAAAGUGACAGUGCUUUAAUGUAUGAAACAGUUGUAAAAUAGUUAUUUUUGUCACAUUUAUUAAUAAAGUAAAACAAAGCUCUUUAAAAGAAAGAUAGAAAAGAUACCUAGUUCUGCCGGCACACGAACGAAGAGAUCAACUCCGCCAUUAGGAAAUUUCUGCAAAUCAAUUAACUCUCCAGUCCAAUACAUACAAAAUAUAGAAGGAUCAUAUGCAUAUGCCAAACAAGAACAAUUUGCCAAACAAUCUGCUCCACACUUAUCUUGAUCAGCAUUAUUUGUUCUCACAUUAAAAUCAGGAGGUUUCAUAUUAUGAUACACCUUAAAUCCAUCUUGUUUAACUAUACUUGAUCCAUUCUUCACCAUCUCACACUUUAAGUUCAUUCCUUCUUUCCUCACACAACCAUUAGUCCAAUUGCCUAAACUCCAUUCCACAGAAUUCUUUGGCUCAAACCCAUCAAAACAACUACAAAUUGGCACAGUAGAAUUAUCACAGUUACCAAAUGGCCCACAUUUUCCAUAAAAAUCACACUCAUUUUGAUCAACCUCAAGUCUAAAAAGUUCCUUUUUAUUCAUAUACUCAAUCAACUUGAGUGUUCCAUGCGGUGUCAAUGAGAGAAUUCCGAACAUAGUUUUAUCAGCAAAAUUGUAAGUAAUAUAAGUAGUUCCAUCAGUGUCUUGAUCAAAACGCCAACCGGCUAAAUACUCGGUUAACAUUCUCGGUGAUCCGAGAAAAACCCUUCCAUUCCAUGGACCUGUUCUCCAAUGAAUAUUUUUAUCUUUCCAAAUGAAAACUUCUGGUGCAUCCAAUCUUUCAAGACUAGCUGAAUAAUGUCCUGAAGAAGGAUCAUUAUCACUUUUUCUUGAUACAAAGGAUAUUUUCUUACCUGUUACUUGGUUAGCUGCAAUUCUCAUUGUUGGAACAGCUGCAUCUGCAGGGUGUGUGAAACUAUCCCAGAUUGUUGCUCCGGAACUGAUAUCUCUCAAAAUCAAGUUUCCUGAAUCAGCAAGUUGAGCUGUUGAAUUUGUUGAAGAUGAAAUGUUUGUUGACCAUAUAAUAACACCAUUUGGUUUGUUCAAUAUUAUAAAAUUUCCAUCUUUGUGAAUUGUGACAAUUCCAUUUGAAUCUUUGAGUGGUUGAUCUCUGUUUGCAAUCCAUAUAUUGUUGGUCUUAUUGAUGUACCAAAUUCCUAGGUAACGGUUGGUUGAAUUUAAUGGGCUGAAAAAUCCUAGCUUGAAAUUUGUGUUGUUUGAGGUUAUUGUUUCAUUGUCUUUGAGAGAUUUGGAUGAUGUAAUGGUGUCAUU
RNAcentral lists this long non-coding RNA (29606 nucleotides) under Medicago truncatula (barrel medic). RNAcentral's name for it is "long non-coding RNA (MTRU_LNC005881)". The stretch from base 8700 to 8870 matches the Rfam family "MIR2619 microRNA precursor family". Lineage: Eukaryota; Viridiplantae; Streptophyta; Magnoliopsida; Fabales; Fabaceae. The record is from RNAcentral.